Molecule: long non-coding RNA, 1115 nt
Organism: Oncorhynchus keta (chum salmon)
Lineage: Eukaryota; Metazoa; Chordata; Actinopteri; Salmoniformes; Salmonidae
Exons: 5
Source: RefSeq, a predicted model, not a curated record
CCUUUCAAAACGUUAUCUCUACUGAACACAUUCCAUGGCUGUAAUCAUUAGUUCAACAAGUUGCAAAACGGAACAAUUUACAACUAAAACUAGAGUUUCUAUUGGACCAAUUCAGCUAGGUCCCUCCCCAUUUUCUUCCGUUUAAGAAACGUUUUGCAACCGAAUCGGCGUAUUGAAUUCGCACUAGGAUUACACUUCAGCCAUUCGACUAUUUUUUACGAUUUUCGCGGAAGUAUAGCGCCUGUGAUGUGGACAAAAUGAUCGGGGAUCUCUUGAUUAUUCGGGACCUUACUCAUGAACACUGGUGCUGUGUUAAACUUCAAACUGAAGAAAAAGUAGUCACAAGGACAAUUUGGAGAUGAACCUCGUGGACCAACUACAGGUGACAUACAUUACAUUUACAUUUAAGUCAUUUAGCAGACGCUCUUAUCCAGAGCGACUUACAAAAAGAGUGACAACAUCAGAGAGUUCCUCCAGAGUCUACGCUACUUCCGGAUUUUCAUUGCCUUAUGGAACAUAUUCAUGAUGUUUUGCAUGAUUCUAUUGUUUGGAUAGUGAUCAACUUCGUUUUUGGAUUGGGGGCCCCUGCACAAAAAAUAACUUUUUUGAGUUGAGAUUCAUAUCGGAUCCUGUGACCUGCGACCAUUAUGUGCAAUAUCGCAAUAUUUUUGCGCUAGUUAGUUGUACCUGCAUCAAAACUACAGUAUUUUAUCUUCAUAGCUUUUAGAAAUAGGGAGCCAAUUGGUUUUUCAGCCCAUUUAUUUCCAUGACUGACCUAAACUGCUUCUCAUGGUUCUCUCGUCACACUGCAGCGGAUAUAUGGUUAGCAAUAUGUUUGGAACAUCGAAUCGCAAUAGAUAUUGUAUCGGCAUCUAAGUAUUGUGAUAAUAUCGUAUCAUGAGGUCCCUGGCAAUUACCAGCCCUAUUGCUGACCUGUUAUCUAUAGUCCUCAUUUUCUUCUGAAACUUGUGAACAGAAUGAGAACCAUUUGACAUGUUUGACGUUUGUCUUACUAAGGCCUUCUGAUGUUAAGAGCAUUCAGACUUCAUUUUAUCAUUGCUUUGUUGCAUACUUUUGUCUAUGAUCUAGUUUUGUAUAAUAAAACUUUACUCUAA